Gossypium arboreum is the source of this 107-nucleotide non-coding RNA. NCBI's taxonomy places the organism in Eukaryota, Viridiplantae, Streptophyta, Magnoliopsida, Malvales, Malvaceae. The record is from Rfam.
AUCCCGUGGUGAGGGAAUUUGCGUAGUAACUCUUUAAAUCUUUCCCAUGCCUCAUAUAUGGAUUCAUCAUCCAUUUUUUGAAAAUUAGUGACCUCAUUCCACAACUU